GCACCUGUGGCUCAGUCGGGUAGAGGAAUGUCUAUGGCUCCGGAGGUCAGGGGUUCGAACCCCAACCGUGGCC
Molecule: non-coding RNA, 73 nt
Organism: Caenorhabditis elegans
Lineage: Eukaryota; Metazoa; Nematoda; Chromadorea; Rhabditida; Rhabditidae
Source: the annotation of a RefSeq genome assembly